UGAGGAAUAUUGGUCAAUGGUCGCAAGACUGAACCAGCUAUGCCGCGUGCAGGAAGACGGUCCUAUGGAUUGUAAACUGCUUUUAUACAGGAAGAAACCCUCCCACGUGUGGGAGCUUGACGGUACUGUAGGAAUAAGGAUCGGCUAACUCCGUG
This 155-nucleotide ribosomal RNA is filed under the name uncultured bacterium. Its description in RNAcentral is "partial 16S ribosomal RNA". It matches the Rfam family "Bacterial small subunit ribosomal RNA", at positions 355 to 507 of the family's 1533-position model. The record is from RNAcentral.